This 486-nucleotide ribosomal RNA is filed under the name uncultured bacterium. RNAcentral's name for it is "bacterial SSU rRNA". It matches the Rfam family "Bacterial small subunit ribosomal RNA", at positions 28 to 507 of the family's 1533-position model. The record is from RNAcentral.
GAUGAACGCUAGCGACAGGCUUAACACAUGCAAGUCGAGGGGCAGCGAGGGCGUAGCAAUACGCCUGUCGGCGACCGGCGCACUGGUGAGUAACACGUAUGCGACCUGCCCCCUACAGGGGUAUAACCCGUAGAAAUGCGGACUAAUCCCCCAUAGUCCUGGGUGCUGCAUGGCAUUCAGGGGAAAGGCCAGCCGGUAGGGGAUGGGCAUGCGGCGCAUUAGCUAGUUGGCGGGGCAACGGCCCACCAAGGCGACGAUGCGUAGGGUUCUGAGAGGAAGGUCCCCCACACUGGUACUGAGACACGGACCAGACUCCUACGGGAGGCAGCAGUGAGGAAUAUUGGUCAAUGGGCGCAGGCCUGAACCAGCCAAGUCGCGUGAGGGAUGACGGUCCUACGGAUUGUAAACCUCUUUUGUCGGGGAGUAACGUGCGGGACGGGUCCCGUAUUGAGAGUACCCGAAGAAAAAGCAUCGGCUAACUCCGUG